This 4565-nucleotide long non-coding RNA is filed under the name Sus scrofa (pig). RNAcentral describes it as "lncRNA (ENSSSCG00050047143.1)". Lineage: Eukaryota; Metazoa; Chordata; Mammalia; Artiodactyla; Suidae. The record is from RNAcentral.
CUUUUUUCUUUGUCUUUUUAGGGCUGCAUUUGCUCCAUAUGGAGGUUUCCAGGCUCGGGGUCGAAUUGGAGCUGUAUCUGCAGGCCUGUGCCAGAGCCACAGCAGUGUCAGAUCUGAGCCAUGUCUGUGACCUACACUACAGCUCACGGCAAUGCCAGAUCCUUAACCCACUGAGUGAGGCCAGGGAUUGAACCCUCAACCUCAUGGUUCCUAGUAGGAUUUGUUUCUGCUCUGCCUCGACAGGAACUCCCUGACUCAGGAUUUCUGACAGUCAUCUUUUUCUGUGAUUUGCUGGGGAUACGAACACCCCCAGGGCACUCAGCCUUAGGGCCUUUUAGCUUUUGAGCCUUGAGUGCCUUGAACUUUUCUAGCAGUGCCCAGAUGCCCCUCUGCUUUUCCCUGUGUUCUUUUUUGCCCCCUUCUCAGGCCUCAGAUAUGCCCUGUCCAAGCUGCUUUCCAGCAAAUCAUCAGGCUGCAGUUUAUACUGGAAUAUUUUAAUGUUUCUGUCUCCCAUUCUAUGCCCUGGGGGGGGUGAUCCUACUCUGAAUUUUCUAAAUUAAUGUGAUAAGUACUAUUAAACGAUGCAGCCCAAGGCUUGACACUGGCUUCAGUUUCAGUUAUUCUGCUGGGAGAUGAAAGGACUUAGCCUUAAGGAGUAACUCAAGUGAUAGCUCAGGCACUGUGACUGACAACUGUUUUAGGGAGUUCCCGGGUGGGGCAACGGGUUGAGGAUCUGGUGGUGUCACUGCCGUGGCUCUGCUUGCUGCUGUGGCUCGGUUUGAUCUCUGGCCUGGGAACUCUGCAUGCUGUGGAUGUGGCCAGAAAAAAAGAAUUUUAGGCGGAGGUGCUUUUCCAUGCCUGAGAACGGGUACUCCAUUUACAGGAAAAGAGCCCCGCUUUGCAGAGAACUCAGAGCCCAAGUUUCUUGUGCUGUCCACCCCAGAGUUCUUAUGCCGAUGAAAUGGAAGCGCCUUGCCCUUCUGCUCCUCUUGACGUGGUCCAGGUCGGCUGUUCCCUGAUCAGAGCAGUCACCGCUCAGCCAUCCUCACAGCCCACGCUGUGUGGAUGCGGUUACUCCUGCAGUAGAGACCUGCCCACGGUCACAGGGCCACCGACCACAUUCAUGUGUAUGUGAGCACGUGUGUGUGGAGUCUGGGGUCUGAGGCAACAUUUUAAACCCAGGAUGCCUGCCUCCAGACUGGGGCCUUGAAUGCUUCACUAUACACAAUUGCAGGUCGCCCAGGCUCAGUCCUGUGCUGCUGGGGGCUGCACUGCUAAUGCUUUCUCAUUUUGGUUGUAAAGGUUUUAGUCAAUUUUUGUAACUGCCACCCCCCCCUUUUUUUUUUUGCCUGUGCUUGCAGCAUGUGGACGUUCCCAGGGCAGGGAUCAAACGGGGACCACAGGAGCUCCCGUCAUGGCUCAGAGGAAACAAAUCUGACACGCAGGUUCGAUCCCUGGCCUUGCUCAGUGGGUUAAAGAUCUGGCCUUGCUGUGAGCUGUGGUGUGGGCUGCAGACAUGGCUUGGAUCUGACAUUGCUGUGUCUGUGGCAUAGGCUGGUGGCUACAGCUCCAAUUUGGCCCCUAGCCUGGGAAUCUCCAUAUGCCACUGGUUUGGCCCUAAAAAGCAAAAAAAAAAAAAAAAAAAAAAGACAAAAAAAACAACCCUGGACUAUAGCAGCAGCCUGAGACACUGCAGUGACAAUGCCAGAUUCUUAACCCCCUGGACCACAAGGGAACUCCUGUAGCUGGCCCUUUAAAAGUGAGAUCUUUAAAAAAAAGGAGUUCCCAUUGUGGCUCAGUGUUACGAACCUGACUAGUAUCCAUGAGGAUGCGGUUUUGAUUCCUGGCCUUGCUCAGUGGGUUAAAGGAUCUGGCGUUGCUGUGAAUUGCAGCAUAGGUUGCAGGUACAGCUCGGAUCCUGCAUGUCUAUGGCUGUGGUGUAGGCUGGCAGCUGCAGCUCUGAUUCAACCCCUAGCCUGGGAACUUCCUUAUGCUGCAGGGGAUCUGAGAAUUUUAUUUAUUUAUAAUUUUUUUUCUUUGGUCACCCCCAUGGUAUAUGAAGCUCCCCAGGCCAGGGAUAGAAUCUGACCCAUGGCUGCCACCUAUGCCACAGCUGGACUCAUAUCCCACUGGGCUUGGCCAGGGACUGAACUGGGGCCUCCAAAGAAACAAUGUUGGGUCGUUAGCCCGUUGUGCCACAGCAGAAAUGUCAGGAUCUGAGAAUUUUAGAGCUUGACGGGGAAGUUGGAGAGGAUUGGGUUUCUGUCCUUCCUGCCCUUUUUUUUUUUAAAGGUGGCAUUUUAUUUAUUUACUGUCUUAUCUAGGGCAGCCCGCACCUGUGGCAUAUGGAGGUUCUCAGGCUAGGGGUCUAAUCAGAGUCCCACUGAGCGAGGCCAGGGAUCGAACCUGAAACCUCAUGGUUCCCAGUUGGAUUCGUUAACCACUGAGCCAUGACAGGAACUCCCUGUCCCUCCUGCUUUUUUAAAAAAUUAAUUAGUCCAUGCCUGUGGCAUACCGAGGUUCCUGGGCCAGAAACUGAACCUGUACCACUGUAGUGACUCAAGCCAGAGUAGUGACAACGCUGGAUCCUUAACCUGCUGAGCCAGCAGUGGACACCCUCCUGAUUUUUAAAACAGCUGCAAAACUCGGAUCCAGAGAGAUGAAAUGAUGUGCUUGAGACCACAUGGCUAGUUAGGACACGGGAAAAAAUGCCCGUGAAAUUCAGUAGAAGGUUAUCCUUUAAUUUUCUUAAGUUUUUAUUCUGAAGUAAUUUUGGACUUCAGAAAAAAAGUUACAGAAAUAAUAGGGUUCCUUUACCCAGCUCCCUCCAGUGUUACAAUCAUGGAUUUGUCAAAAGUCAUACAUUAACAGAAGUACAAUAUUAAUAACUAAAUUUCAGAUUUCACCAGUUUUUCCACCAAAAUCCUUUUUCUGUUCCCGGAUCUAAUCAGGAUACCACACUGCAUUUAGACUCUAGUUUUCAACUUUGGAUUUGCAAAUACUUGAGGUUCCUUAAAACAGGAAUGAAUUAGUGACAUUUUUCUGUUGUACAGAAAAUAUAUCAGAAGCUUCUUUUUCCUUUUUUAGGGCUGCACCUGCGGCAUAUGCAAUUUCCCAGGCUAGGGGUCUAAUCGGAGCUGCAGCCUACGCCACAUCCACAGCCACAAAGGAUCUGAGCUGCAUCUGCAAGCUAUACCACAGCUCAUGGCAACACCGGAUCUUUAACCCACUGAGCAAGGCCACGAUCGAACCCGCAUCGUCCUCAUGGAUAUCAGUCGGGUUUGUUGCCACCACUGAGCCACAAUGGGAACUCGAGAAGCCUCUUUCUUGUAUUGGAGGAUGUUUUGUGUGUUUACAGAGCCAGCUGUCUGCUGUGGAGAAAUCCCAUCCGCAGCUUUUUGGGUGUGUUAAACUCUGGACAGCCCCAGCCUAUCUGAUCUGGAUACGAAUGGCUGUCCUCAGGGCCAGCAAUGGCCCAGCCUGGUACUUUUGUCACUGGUGUUUGGAUCUUGCUUGAGUCUCAUUUCUAUUUACUGUUUGUGGUGCAUACAGCUUUCUUCACUUCCAGGUGCCCAGUUUAUCAACUGAAGGACUUUGGUGCCAGAAACACAUAAAUCCGGUCCCCAGCUUCCACCCUAGUAGUUGUGGGACUGUGAGCAAGUCACUUAAUUGCUCUAAAACUCAGUGGGUUUAGGAUCUGGCAUUGCCACUGCAGUGGCUUGGGUUGCUGUGGUGCAGGUCUGACCCCUGGCUUAGGAACUUGGGAAUGCCACCCCCUCACCCUCCAAAAACCCCAUCAAUUUCCUCCUUUUCAAGAUGGGGACAGCAGCUAGCUUGCAGAAUUACUCAGAGGGUUAAGUGGAGGAGUGGUAAGCAGUGCUUGGUGUGCCGUGGAUGUGGAGUGAUGGAUGGAUGGACGGCAGUAAGGGCAGGUGGGUACAAUGGAAGGUUUUGAAUACCAGGCAGAACCUCCUGAACUUACUUGCUGGUGGCCAGGGGCAGGCACCAGGUUUGGGAAGGGGAGGGACGGCAUCAGGGAGUCAAAUGCAGGAGUGCUGGAUUAAGUGGGGAGGCAGUGCCAGUGGAGCAGAAUGGGGGCCUGGACUGGAGGCACAGUGAUGGGAAGAUGAGAUUCUUUUUUUUUUUUUUGCUUUCUAGGGCUGCACUCUCAGCAUAUGGAGGUUCCCAGGCUAGGGGUCUAAUCGGAGCUGUAGCUGCCGGCCAGAGCCACAGCCAAGCCAGAUCUGAGCCAUGUCUGCAACCUACACCACAGCUCACGGUAACGCCGGAGCCUUAACCCACUGCGCCAGGCCAGGGAUCGAACCUGCAACCUCAUGGUUCCUAGUUGGAUGCAUUUCUGCUGCGCCAUGAAGGGCACUCUGGGAAGAUGAGAUUCUUGAAUGACUGUGUGUACCAUCCACUGAUAGAGAACUAGACAGGAUGCAGGAGGAACUCCAAGGCGACUAAUUUCUAGGUCCAGGUGAAGAGAAGAAUGUGAUGUCAUUAAUAGAGAGGAAUAAGGAUGAAGAGGUAAUUUGCGGGAGAACAUUGCAUUUGGCUUUAUU